Molecule: non-coding RNA, 70 nt
Filed under: pig gut metagenome
Description: Glycine riboswitch
Rfam family: Glycine riboswitch aptamer
About the family: This family represents the bacterial glycine riboswitch. Glycine riboswitches usually consist of two metabolite-binding aptamers domains with similar structures in tandem.
Source: RNAcentral
UUACGGGAGAGACUUCCAAAGAGGCGCCGAAGGGGCAGUGGUAACAAACUCUCAGGCAAAAGGACCGUAA